AGCGAACGCUGGCGGCAGGCUUAACACAUGCAAGUCGAACGCCCCGCAAGGGGAGUGGCAGACGGGUGAGUAACACGUGGGAACGUACCCUUUGGUUCGGAAUAACUUGGGGAAACUCAAGCUAAUACCGGAUAAGCCCUUAUGGGGAAAGGUUUACUGCCGAAGGAUCGGCCCGCGUCUGAUUAGCUAGUUGGUGAGGUAAUGGCUCACCAAGGCGACGAUCAGUAGCUGGUCUGAGAGGAUGAUCAGCCACACUGGGACUGAGACACGGCCCAGACUCCUACGGGAGGCAGCAGUGGGGAAUUUUGGACAAUGGGCGCAGGCCUGAUCCAGCCAUGCCGCGUGGGUGAUGAAGGCCCUAGGGUUGUAAAGCCCUUUCGGCGGGGAAGAUAAUGACGGUACCCGCAGAAGAAGCCCCGGCUAACUUCGUGCCAGCAGCCGCAGUAA
Molecule: ribosomal RNA, 447 nt
Filed under: uncultured bacterium
Lineage: Bacteria
Description: partial 16S ribosomal RNA
Rfam family: Bacterial small subunit ribosomal RNA
Source: RNAcentral